ACCAAAUGUUGAAAUUUUUAAGAGGUUCCAAAACCCACUUUUUAAUGACCAGUUCAGAUCUGAAGUCACUUUGUGAGGCUUACAUAUUAGAUUACACUAUAUAUUAGAUGAAUAGGACCCAAACCAAAUUUUAAGAUAUUCAUUCAUCUCUCCCCUACUGAUUUAGGGGGAUAGAAAGAUAGAAGAGGUGAGCCUGAUACUUCUUAUGUACAGUAUGUGCAGGGUUAACAUUUAACAUUAAAAUUCAGAAUUGUUUUACACAAUUCUUUCACAAAACUAAGGUGUUUCACAAAAUUACAAAAUCACAGUUACAUAAGAAGAGGUAAUGUUUGUUUCGUUUCUCAAGUCCCACCCUCAAAAUAAUAAAUUAGGAACCUCGAUCCUCGAGAUUGUCAUCUCACAUUACAUCCUGUCUUCAAGAAUUGAGCCAUGAGCUCCCUGAUCGGAAUUCUCAGCCUCCUCUCGGCUCUUGCAGCGACAAGUUAUGCUCUUUCGUGUACACAGUGUAUUUCUAAUGAAACAACAUGUUCCGGUACCAGCAUAACCUGUUAUUCAGGACUUCAGUGUGCAUCUACAUACACAGAAACCACUAUUGCUGGAGUAAAGUCUACAUCUUUGACCAGAUCAUGCGCACUUUCAUCAAAUUGUGGCUUAAAGGGCACGGUGACCCUACAACAUGGACAUAUGAGGCUGAGCACUUCAUGCUGCAAAACUGACUACUGUACUCCUGAUCUUCCCACAUGAUCAGUGUCAGCUUCAACAGCCUUUCGAGGGUGCGCAACAAAGUCCAUCUGUGACAUCGGCAGCGAGUCCGCAAGCAUUAACGAAAUGACACGUUAUGUUAACUAUACCUGCACCAGCGGUGGCCUUAGUGUCCAUAACAUCGUCCUGACUCCGGCCAUUGUGUGUCUUCUACUGCUGAAACUGUUCUUCUAACAGAGAUUAAGGAUGUUUGGAUGAAUGAAGCCAAAGGAAACAAAAAAUGUGUUCAGUAUAGAAUAUUUUAAACCUUGGCUAGAAAAUAUCAAUGUGCACAAGUAAUUGAAAAAUUUUCUUCUGCAUCUACUGUGUUUCAUUUUGUUGUAAGUUUACUUUUGUUUUACAAACCGCAUCCAUUGACAUUUCAAAAA
Long non-coding RNA from Bufo gargarizans (Asiatic toad), 1130 nucleotides. RefSeq lists it as uncharacterized. The record is from RefSeq and is a predicted model, not a curated record. NCBI's taxonomy places the organism in Eukaryota, Metazoa, Chordata, Amphibia, Anura, Bufonidae. The transcript has 4 exons.